RNAcentral lists this long non-coding RNA (4415 nucleotides) under Olea europaea subsp. europaea. Lineage: Eukaryota; Viridiplantae; Streptophyta; Magnoliopsida; Lamiales; Oleaceae. The record is from RNAcentral.
UAUAAAUACAGAAUCUUGAGCCAUUGUUUAAGUACGUUUUUCAUUAUUCCCCAGUUUAUAGCCUCAAGCAUAUAAUUCUCUUUCUGACUUAAGUAUCGGAGGGAUGAUGAGAACAUACCUCGUUGUCUUUGUUUCAGGUAUCGGAAGAUUACGAUAGUGUUCAAUCCAAAUCAUCAAGCUCGGAAAAUCCACAGGUACGAUUUUUGAUAGCAUUAGUUUGAUAAAAAAAUUUAACAAGUGAUUUUUUGAAAAAACAAAAAAAAAAUUAAUAUGUGAUUAAAAAUUGGUAAAGAUUAUGAGAAAUAGAAUAUAUAUAUAUAUAUAUAUAUAUAUAUAUAUAUAUAUAUAUAUAUAUAUAUAUAUAUAUAUAUAUAUAUAUAGCCUCAUUCUUUUGGAAAAAUUCAUUUUUCAACAGUGUUUUGACAUCAUUUCAAUCACACAUUAUUCAAUAAAAUAAUAUUACACGUAAAUUCAAAAAUUUUCCUUAUUUUUUAACCACACAUUUUCCAUCAAUACACUAUUCAAAAAUUCAUUCUUCCCCAAAAAAUGGGGCUCAAACAAGGGCAUAUAUAUUUUUCGAGAAUUUAUAAUUGAAAAUGAGAGUGAAAGAGAAAUGAUUCUCAAGAAUCAAAUCAAGCAAGGGCUUAGAUGGCACAAUAAAGCCACAGAUGCAAACACCAAUUUCUAUUACUUCCAGUGUGAUUUUAAGUAGCUUUUGGACCAGCCAAACCCAUUCAAACAGGCCCAAAAUGCAAUAGUCUCAUAAUGUGGCUUUGAUUCAACAAAUAUAAAAUACUCACAAUAUCAAUAUAAAUAAUUGAUAAAAGCGCUAUGUCACCAUCCUCAGUUCAAUACUAGGAAAAUAUUCUAUAUAGAGACUACAUUUUAAUUAUUUUGCUUAUACCAUAUUUACAUUUGUGUUAUCUCGUUUACUCAAACUUGUCAACAUGAACUUUUGACACACUUGUAAAUUUGUUUAGGCUUUCUCUAUAGUGCAGAUUUUUAUUUGAUUCAAUGAAUUUGAACACCCCACCCCAGUUUGUUAGUCUAUAUGACACUUUUUCUUGGGAUAUACUUAGAACCUGAUGAAGCAGUAGUCACAACUUUGCUUUACUUGAUAUAACUCUAAUAUCUAAUUCAUCUUAGGGUUCGUUUGAUUGCAAAUGUGAAAUUUGGGUGGAAAGAAAACGAAUUUCAAGAAAUUGAAUUGAUGAGAAAUUGUUUUAUUGAGAAUUGUAAAUUAUUGUGUUUAAUUGGUAUAAUUUUCCACAUGGAAAAUGUUUAAAUUAAAGUGUUUUUUUAUGUCCGUUUGGCUUUGUUUUACAUUAAAAUUGUCAAUUAAAGGGAUAAAAUUUACUGGUAUUGAGAAUGAAAUUUGUUUCUAUUGCCAAAACAAAAAAAAAUUAAAAAAUCAAAAAAAUCAUCUAUUUUUGAAUGUUCGUUUGGCUUUGUUUUACAUGAAAAUUGUCAAUUAAAAAGAAAUAUUUUUUUUUACAAUAAAUCUUAGAAUUUGUUUUCACUGCAAAAAGAAAAAAAAAGGUGCUACAGUGAACCGGGAACAAAACCAAGAAAACUUCAAUUCCCAAGAAAAAUUGGAAAAUGUAAUUCCAUGAAAAAAAAUGGUAUCAAACACCCUUAAAACUCAAAGUUGGAAUUGAUUUUUCACUUUCCCUAGAAAAUUUUGGCCUAUCAAACGGACCCUUACUGUAAAAGUAAAUUUGGUAGGUUGAAUUGAACAUAAUCAAAUAUGUAUAAUGUUUUCUCCUGCAUACUAAACAUGUCACGAAACUAAUAAUUCUAGUUGAUGUACUCAAGGAAAGAUGGUCACUAGUUGUCUAUAUGCAUUUCAUUUGAGCACUCAUGGAGGGGGUUAAAAGGGAUGGAUUUCUGUUCACUGGACCAUACUCACAUGUGAACAGCAAGUUAGAUUUGUUGAGUCAUGUCUCAAUUCGUGGCUCAAAUUUAUACCAAUCCUCUUUUGAUUUUCACAUGGAGCUAUUCUAUUGGCCAGUAUUACUUCAUAGGGUGGGUUCAGCUGACUCAUCAUUCCCUUUCAAUUUCAUGCUAGAGUAAUAUGAUUCAUGAAUUAAUGGAUUCAAGUGCAGCCACGUCCUGCAGUUCAAAGUCCUCGUACACACACACACACACACACACACACACAUAUGUGUGUGUGUGUGUAGCCACGUCCUGCAGUUCAAAGUCCUCGUAUAUAUGUGUGUGUGUGAAAUUACAAAAAGGACUUUUCCAGGGCUGUUGUACUAAUGUUCCAGCCAUUUAUUUACUUGACGGUGACCACAUGCAGCAUAUCCUCGAGCCUGGUUCAGAAGGAUCAAGUUUUUUACAUGUAAUUUUUUUGUAUAAUACUAAUCUUUGAGCCUCGAAAAGAAGAUCAUAAAAAUUCCAUUUCCUUUGUGCACAGUUAGAAGUCUAAUUGUCCACCCGGCGAUGACUAACCUGGAGAAAAAAGGUCAAUGAUUCUUAAAAUUGUUCCCAUAUUAGGAGAAGCCAAACCUUGCACACAAGCAGGGACACUCUUAAAAGCCAGUAACUGUCAAUGUUGAUGCCAUUGCAAUAUGACAACUUGGAUGCUCUCGAACCUGAACGUUGAUGUUUUUGAAAGGAAUCAGUAGUCUCCGGUCCCACUCAAGCCCUACCAAGACUUCUGCCUACCACAAAAUUAUCAAACUACUUUUCAUGCUCACUAUUAUACUGCCACGUGUCGUCCCAUGAAUUCAGCCUGCAAUAUGAACCCCUCAAGUCCAGUGACCGGCCUCAAAAUGUUAUAGUGUGCUUCAAUAGGAAAACAGAGUAACCAAAAAGAAAUGUUAAAGGAAAAGAGUAGAGGAGUACAUGGUGGCAACACCAGCAGCCAUUGGGCCCGGAUUUGUGACACUUGCCAAUCAGCAGUCUGCACCAUGUAUUGCAGGGCUGACUCGGCGUACCUCUGCACUGGCUGCGACUCUCGCAUCCACAGAACCAGUCUUGAGGCCUCGCGCCAUCAGCGCAUGUGGGUGUGUGAGGCCUGUGAACGUGCUCCAGCAGCCUUCCUAAGUAAGGCUGAUGCUGCGUCCCUAUGUACAACCUGUGACUCGGACAUCCACUCAGCCAACCCUUUGGCACGGCGCCAUCAACGUGCCCCAAUUUUGCCGAUUCCCGGAAUGCUCUAUGGUACUCCGUCAGCCACUUACCCCAGUGGAUUAGUAAUGGGGCCUACUGGGGUUGCAGCCAAGAUUGAGUUCUUGAUUCAAGACGAAGAUCAAACUAUACAUGAAGAAGAAGAUGAAGACGAGGCAGCUUCAUGGCUUUUGUUCAACCAUGUUAAGAAUAUUUGCAACCAAAGUAACAACAUUGGACGGUUCUUUGGCGGAGAGGUUGACGAGUAUUUGGACCUUGACGAGUAUAAUUCAUAUCAGGACAACCAGUUCAGUAAUCAGGACAACAAUCAACUGCAACCUUACGAUGUUUCUCAAAAGAGCUAUGGCAGUGACAAUGUUGUGCCAAUCCAAAAGAGUAAGGAUCAGAUUUACAACCAUAGUUUUCAGUUGGGAAGGGAGUACGAGGCCUCGAAAAAUGUUUAUGAUAAUCCCGCUUCAAUUUCUCACACUGUAAGUUCUUCUUCACCUAGUGCAUACUUCAUACGUAGUAUUAAAGAAGACAAGACAAUAUAAUAAACUAGAUUUAGUUUCUGCGUGUCUUAGUGCUAUCCAGUCCUAUCCAUUCGUCAUUGUUUUCUUCAAUUACUCAGUGCAAGUUUUUUCAGCUAAAUGCACAAGUUUUUUCUUGGUGAUGAAAUCAGGUAUCAUUUUCAUCUUUAGAUGUUGGAGUUGUUCCAGAAUCCACAACUAGUGAGGUUUCGGUCUCCCACCCAAGACCUCCAAAGGGGACCAUUGAUCUCUUCUCUAGCCCUCCUAUCCCAAUGCCAACACAACUUUCUCCAACGGACAGAGAAGCCAGAGUGUUAAGGUACAGAGAGAAGAAGAAGGCGAGGAAGUUUGAGAAGACCAUCAGGUAUGCAUCAAGGAAGGCCUAUGCAGAAACCAGACCUAGGAUCAAAGGUCGAUUUGCAAAAAGAACAGAUGUAAGAGCCAACCAGAUGUUCUCAUCAACGCUAAUAGAAGAAGGUGGCUAUGGAAUCGUCCCAUCAUUCUGAUCUGAUCCCAGCAAGAAAAGGUUUAAGAGAAUUAAAAAACGAAUCAUCUCAAAUUUGUACCAAUCAUUUCAAAAGCCAUUACCAAUGAUUCUCUUAGUAAUUCCUGUUUAUAAUUUAGGUAUCAUCUUGUUCAAAUCUCUGCCUUGUUGUAAAUCCAUGUACUUGUGCACUUACACCGGUACCAAUCCUUUGUUUACAUUGUUUAAUGAACACAUGCAUAUAUGUAAAUUAUCGAUCCUUUUAGCCUAACUUCAAAUUUCGUUAA